CAUGGUACCUACUACUCAGUCUUCUUCAUCGGAGAAACAAAAGUGUCUUAAAGAAGGUUGCCUAUUGCCUCUGUCUGACCUUGAUGAUGUAAGUAUCUACAGAAAUCAGGGCCUUUCAUCACGGACUUAAACACACACAACUGGCCCAGGAUUCAGAGAUGCUGAAGAAGGAUCCCAAGGAAGGUGGGAUGCUUGCAGGCCUGACUGCCGCCUCUAGUGAAUGGGUUGGACAUGUUGUGUGAGUUACAAAGUGCGUGUAGCUUCCCUUCUGCCCCCCACGUAGCUUGCAAGGAGCUCCCUUGUGGCUCACCCUAUCUGGAAACAUACAGAAAAAGGAAUUCUGAGAAAAGUAGUUCAGCCUAGCGAAGUUGAUGCAUUACAAAGGUGCUCCUCAUAUUUUCCAAUUAAUUGCUCAUGACAGUUUUGAGUUGCAUUUCCUAUUUUGCCAGUGAUUCACAACCCACCCUAAUUAGGACUAGAAACUUGCUUUAUUCUCUUAUGAAGGUCUUAAGGUAUUACUGAAUUCCUAUGUUUUGCCUGUACUAUGCCACUUAAAAUUUAAUUGGAUACUCACUUAAGUUAGCCUAAUUAACUUCUCUAUUGGUUAGAAUUGCAUUUCUCUGCAAAUAACAUUAAAGUUAAAGAAACAAACAAAAAUUAUACCUUAAACAAAGUUAAAAAGUAUUUCUUUUUCACCUAAAAGAAGUAGGAGUCUUGAGCUGGUUUGUCCAUGAACAUAAGAAACUCAGGCUUCUUCUAUCAAUAAGAUAAGUCCUAGCACCUGUAAAGUUACUUCACGGUCCAUGAAGGCUGCUAGAUCUCCAACCAUUGCACCUAGUUUCCAGGAAGAGACAAAAAUUCAAAGAACUUACCUCCCAGCUCCCUUACAGAUUUCUUGAAGAUUUCCUGCAAAUCCUGAAGAGCAACUUCCACUUGCAUUUCAGAGCUUCAAGAGGAGCUGAGAAUUAAAGCCAGAGCAAAGUACAUUGCUCAGCAGGAAAUGAAUAUUAAGAAGGAAAUAGCAACGUCUGCUGCAAUUUCUAAGAAGAAAUACUCCCUACACAAAUCAUACUUCCCAAGAUGACAUACUACUUCCUUCAUUAGGAAUGAGAACAUUAUCCAAUAUGAGGGUGGGCUUUAAGAAAACAGUUAAUUUUGUGUCAGGUGACUUCAUUCAACAUUGCCAACAAAUACUUUUGAAGCUGUGCACUUACAGUAUGGAGAUUACAAAGAAAGUCUUCAAACGCUGAAGCUGAAGCAGUGGAGAUGAUACAGAAGUUUUGCAGUCUUUGCAGGAAAUGUGAAUUACUGCAAAAGUUGUGCAGAGAGUUAUGAGAGCUCAGUGGGGCGCUAGGUGCCCAUCAGCAGGAACUGGACACUGAUGAAUACAGGACUGAGACUGCACGUUGAGAUCUACGUGAAGCCAUCACGAUUUCAACGAGCUUGUGGAGAGUGCAGGGGUCAAACACACAGGGGUUUAUUAGUGUAUCAGAGGGCCUUUUCCCAGUCAAGAGAAGGAAGGGGCCCUAAGAAGAAAAAUUUGAUAAGGAUACAGAGACCUGCAGAAGUGGAGGAAGCUAUGAGGAAUUUACUUUGGACACAGAUCAGUGUCUGUUGAAUAUUACAGCAUGUGAGCCUGAAUUACCCACAAUUCCUCACAAGUAUUGCUUUAAAGGUAGUGAUUCAUCCACCUGAUCACACCAGCAUCGAAACACUUUCCUGUCUUCAUCAUUAAGAGUGUUAUGCCAGGCAAAACAUAACUGUGAUGAAACCAAUUCAGUGUUCUGUCUUUGUACUACCUUCCCCCUUAGCAUU
Herpailurus yagouaroundi (jaguarundi) is the source of this 1815-nucleotide long non-coding RNA. RefSeq lists it as uncharacterized. The transcript has 2 exons. The record is from RefSeq and is a predicted model, not a curated record. NCBI's taxonomy places the organism in Eukaryota, Metazoa, Chordata, Mammalia, Carnivora, Felidae.